RNAcentral lists this ribosomal RNA (460 nucleotides) under uncultured bacterium. Its description in RNAcentral is "partial 16S ribosomal RNA". It matches the Rfam family "Bacterial small subunit ribosomal RNA", at positions 338 to 795 of the family's 1533-position model. The record is from RNAcentral.
CCUACGGGUGGCAGCAGUGAGGAAUAUUGGUCAAUGGGCGUAAGCCUGAACCAGCCAAGCCGCGUGAGGGAUGACGGUUCUAUGGAUCGUAAACCUCUUUUAUAAGGGAAUAAAGGGUGGGACGUGUCCUAUUUUGUAUGUACCUUAUGAAUAAGGAUCGGCUAACUCCGUGCCAGCAGCCGCGGUAAUACGGAGGAUCCGAGCGUUAUCCGGAUUUAUUGGGUUUAAAGGGUGCGUAGGCGGUCUAGUAAGUCAGCUGUGAAAGUCCGUGGCUCAACCCUAGAAUUGCCUUUGAAACUGGUGGGCUUGAGUAUGGUUGAGGCAGGCGGAAUGCGUGGUGUAGCGGUGAAAUGCGUAGAUAUCAGGCAGAACCCCGAUUGCGAAGGCAGCCUACCAAGCUAUGACUGACGCUGAUGCACGAAAGCGUGGGGAUCAAACAGGAUUAGAUACCCCAGUAGUC